AUUGAACGCUGGCGGCAGGCCUAACACAUGCAAGUCGAACGGUAACAGGAAGCAGCUUGCUGCUUUGCUGACGAGUGGCGGACGGGUGAGUAAUGUCUGGGAAACUGCCUGAUGGAGGGGGAUAACUACUGGAAACGGUAGCUAAUACCGCAUAACGUCGCAAGACCAAAGAGGGGGACCUUCGGGCCUCUUGCCAUCGGAUUUGCCCAGAUGGGAUUAGCUAGUAGGUGGGGUAACGGCUCACCUAGUCGACGAUCCCUAGCUGGUCUGAGAGGAUGACCAGCCACACUGGAACUGAGACACGGUCCAGACUCCUACGGGAGGCAGCAGUGGGGAAUAUUGCACAAUGGGCGCAAGCCUGAUGCAGCAAUGCCGCGUGUAUGAAGAAGGCCUUCGGGUUGUAAAGUACUUUCAGCGGGGAGGAAGGGAGUAAAGUUAAUACCUUUGCUCAUUGACGUUACCCGCAGAAGAAGCACCGGCUAACUCCGUG
This 490-nucleotide ribosomal RNA is filed under the name uncultured bacterium. RNAcentral describes it as "partial 16S ribosomal RNA". It matches the Rfam family "Bacterial small subunit ribosomal RNA", at positions 30 to 507 of the family's 1533-position model. The record is from RNAcentral.